ACAGGGAGACACAACUGAUCGUGAUGUCUGAGCGCCGACCAAGCGUAAGUUUGGGAAGCACAUUCGUCUCAGGCCACGGUCCUGUCAUCUCGAAGGUCGAUCGGUACCUCAAGGUGAGCCAUCAAACCCAAGGAAGAGCCAAAAGUUUCGCAAGGAGCUGGAGGUGAAUCGGAGGAUGUUGUGAUGGACUCGUUUUCAGUUCCUAAACUUUGUCUAGGUCACCCCACAAAGGGUUUCCGCGUCUUGCCAAGAUUCAAGCCGAAAAGCAAUGAAUCGAGGGAAGAGGCCAGAAGCUUGUGUCGAAGUGAUUGAUCCUGGGCCAUUAGCUCAGGUGGUUAGAGCGCACCCCUGAUAAGGGUGAGGUCCCUGGUUCAAGUCCAGGAUGGCCCAUUCUUGUUUGGGGGUUUAGCUCAGUUGGUAGAGCGCCUGCUUUGCAAGCAGGAUGUCAGCGGUUCGAGUCCGCUAACCUCCAUCCAACCAGGUGAAGACCACCAGCAGGAAGCGGCAACAGGAUGCAUUUUGACCGGUGAGGUGACAAAGACGAUGUUCAGCUGAGGACUCCAGCCUCCUUUCAUUCCCAAGUGAUGACUUACCAAGCAAGGUAAGUGAUUGUCAAGAGUGGUUGAAAGGAAGCUGGACUCGCUGAUUUUGGCGCGAGCCAAAGAUCAGUGACUCUAGCAAAGAACCUUGACAACUGCAUAGGUGAGUCUGGAUAAAGAAAGCAUCUCAUAGAUGCCCAGACGGACGUGAUUCUUGCUUGGUACUGCCAAGUGAGGAGAGUGUCUGACUGGGAGAUUCUUGAGUUUAGAGCCGAGAGCUUCCAGCGUCUUUUCGCUCCGCCGAGGAGUGAAGAGUUUGAUUCUGCCUUUCAAACCAUCAACAUUCUAGAGAGAUCGGGAAACCGAAGGAUCAAAGGGUGGAGAGAAGUGAAAGCAGAAGAAUGGGUCUCAACAACCC
This 957-nucleotide transfer RNA is filed under the name Synechococcus sp. MI0608F. RNAcentral describes it as "partial 16S-23S ribosomal RNA intergenic spacer". The stretch from base 400 to 472 matches the Rfam family "tRNA". The record is from RNAcentral. Lineage: Bacteria; Bacillati; Cyanobacteriota; Cyanophyceae; Synechococcales; Synechococcaceae.